This 274-nucleotide ribosomal RNA is filed under the name uncultured bacterium. RNAcentral describes it as "partial 16S ribosomal RNA". It matches the Rfam family "Bacterial small subunit ribosomal RNA", at positions 523 to 796 of the family's 1533-position model. The record is from RNAcentral.
AUACGAAGGGCCCGAGCGUUGCGCGGAAUCACUGGGCUUAAAGCGUACGUAGGCGGACAUGCAGGCAUUUUGUGAAAGCCCUCGGCUCAACCGAGGAAUUGCAGGGUGAACCGCAUGUCUUGAGGUGAGUAGGGGCUGUCGGAACGAUAGGUGGAGCGGUGAAAUGCGUUGAUAUCUAUCGGAACGCCAAAGGCGAAGGCAGACAGCUGGGCUUAUUCUGACGCUGAGGUACGAAAGCGUGGGGAGCGAACGGGAUUAGAAACCCCGGUAGUCC